UAGGGAAUCUUCGGCAAUGGACGAAAGUCUGACCGAGCAACGCCGCGUGAGUGAAGAAGGUUUUCGGAUCGUAAAACUCUGUUGUUAGAGAAGAACAAGGACGUUAGUAACUGAACGUCCCCUGACGGUAUCUAACCAGAAAGCCACGGCUAACUACGUGCCAGCAGCCGCGGUAAUACGUAGGUGGCAAGCGUUGUCCGGAUUUAUUGGGCGUAAAGCGAGCGCAGGCGGUUUCUUAAGUCUGAUGUGUAAGCCCCCGGCUCAACCGGGGAGGGUCAUUGGAAACUGGGAGACUUGAGUGCAGAAGAGGGGAGUGGAAUUCCAUGUGUAGCGGUGAAAUGCGUAGAUAUAUGGAGGAACACCAGUGGCGAAGGCGGCUCUCUGGUCUGUAACUGACGCUGAGGCUCGAAAGCGUGGGGAGCAAACAGG
Molecule: ribosomal RNA, 429 nt
Filed under: Chloroflexota bacterium
Lineage: Bacteria; Bacillati; Chloroflexota
Description: Chloroflexi bacterium partial 16S ribosomal RNA
Rfam family: Bacterial small subunit ribosomal RNA
Source: RNAcentral